Molecule: ribosomal RNA, 448 nt
Filed under: uncultured bacterium
Lineage: Bacteria
Description: bacterial SSU rRNA
Rfam family: Bacterial small subunit ribosomal RNA
Source: RNAcentral
ACCAGACUCCUACGGGAGGCAGCAGUGGGGGAUAUUGCACAAUGGGGGGAACCCUGAUGCAGCGACGCCGCGUGGGUGAAGGAGUGCUUCGGCAUGUAAAGCCCUAUCGGCAGGGAAGAAGCAAGACGGUACCUGACUAAGAAGCCCCGGCUAACUACGUGCCAGCAGCCGCGGUAAUACGUAGGGGGCAAGCGUUAUCCGGAUUUACUGGGUGUAAAGGGAGCGUAGACGGCAGUGCAAGUCCGGAGUGAAAGCCCGGGGCUCAACCCUGGGACUGCUCUGGAAACUGUAAAGCUGGAGUGCGGGAGGGGCAGGCGGAAUUCCUGGUGUAGCGGUGAAAUGCGUAGAUAUCAGGAGGAACACCGGCGGCGAAGGCGGCCUGCUGGACCGUAACUGACGUUGAGGCUCGAAAGCGUGGGGAGCAAACAGGAUUAGAUACCCGCGUAAA